Molecule: ribosomal RNA, 521 nt
Filed under: uncultured Geomyces
Lineage: Eukaryota; Fungi; Ascomycota; Leotiomycetes; Myxotrichaceae
Description: eukaryotic LSU rRNA
Rfam family: Eukaryotic large subunit ribosomal RNA
Source: RNAcentral
CGGCGAGUGAAGCGGUAACAGCUCAAAUUUGAAAUCUGGCCUCACGGUCCGAGUUGUAAUUUGUAGAGGAUGCUUCGAGCAUGGUCUGGCCUAAGUUCCUUGGAACAGGACGUCAUAGAGGGUGAGAAUCCCGUAUGCGGCCAGGUGCCUACGCUCAUGUGAAGCUCCUUCGACGAGUCGAGUUGUUUGGGAAUGCAGCUCAAAAUGGGUGGUAAAUUUCAUCUAAAGCUAAAUAUUGGCCAGAGACCGAUAGCGCACAAGUAGAGUGAUCGAAAGAUGAAAAGCACUUUGGAAAGAGAGUUAAACAGUACGUGAAAUUGUUGAAAGGGAAGCGCUUGCAACCAGACUUGCGCGCGGCCGAUCAUCCGGUGUUCUCACCGGUGCACUCGGCCGUGCUCAGGCCAGCAUCGGUUUUGGCGGCUGGAUAAAGGCCCUAGGAAUGUAGCUCCUCUCGGGGAGUGUUAUAGCCUAGGGUGCAAUGCAGCCUGCUGGGACCGAGGACCGCGCUUCGGCUAGGAUGC